This 487-nucleotide long non-coding RNA is filed under the name Rattus norvegicus (Norway rat). RNAcentral describes it as "long non-coding RNA NONRATT033141". The record is from RNAcentral. Lineage: Eukaryota; Metazoa; Chordata; Mammalia; Rodentia; Muridae.
GUGUCUCUUCACAGUAGUGGAACAGUAACUAUGACAAUGGUUGAGCCUAGAGGGAAGAUGUAAGCCAGGAAGUCUGUUGUUUGGGGUCUAAAGGAGCAAUCAUGAAUGUCUGGGCCAUAUUGAGAUGAGAUCUCGACUUUUGCCUCUAGGACAGCCAAAUAGACCUGCCUUGGAUGGUCUCAGCCCAUCUCAUACACUUAGUACCCUUCCAUCUGCCUCUGGUCUCCUGCAUGAAGGAUUUAUAUUUGAAAUGGGAACAAGUAGUCACAACCAUGAGAAGACCCAUGAAGGAAGGACUGUAAAAGGCCAUCAACAGUAAGUGCUUGCUUGCUGAAUUCAGUCAUUCAAACCAUAUCCCAGGCCCUGUGAAUCACACUCUGCAGCAGCCAUGCUCCUCCAGGGGACAUCAGUGCACACUGCAUUCCUCUGAAAACAAUUUGAGCCUCCAAUAGGACUUAAAAGCCUUGGAAGAGUCUUACCAGCCCCA